RNAcentral lists this long non-coding RNA (3245 nucleotides) under Zostera marina. Its description in RNAcentral is "long non-coding RNA (ZMAR_LNC002577)". Lineage: Eukaryota; Viridiplantae; Streptophyta; Magnoliopsida; Alismatales; Zosteraceae. The record is from RNAcentral.
GAUACUUCCUGUCCGGCGAUUCCAACCUCUCAGGCGAGGAGCAAGCAACUUCCUUCACCGUUUCCUGUCCAUUCCUGUCCGGCGAGCAACUUCCCGUUGAUACCUCCCGUCCAUUCCUGUCCGGCGAGCAACUUGCGGCUACAUCUCCAGUUCUGUCCGGCAAGGUUAGGCUUCCAUCCGGCGAACGUCGACGACUUCGGUUAGGCUUCCAUCCGACUCAGGUUAGACUCCACAACCCAUCUUUGGGUUCUGAAUUUUUUUCAAUGUUUAAUCAAUAUCGAUUUAGGUUUUCCAUUUCACUUUCUUUUCAUUUCAAAAUUCUUUGGGUUUUCCUUUUCCCGAAAUUAAAAUCUCAACUAGUAUAUCCAGAAAUCAUCACCUAUUUUCCCCAGUACAUGUCCCCCAAUAUAGUUUAGAGUUUAGAAAAAUAAAUUGUGUAUUUCCCCAAUACGCAAUUACAACUGGAGUGUUGUGGGAAUUAAGGGAUUGAGGAUUGAUUCUCUCCAUUAAUGACUCAUAAAUCCUUUAUUGCCCAACUCUAAAUUACUGUCUCAUACCAUCUGUCUAUCUAUCUAUUAGUUGAUGUUAUACCAUCUGUAACAGUUUUAUACAACCAGAAGAGCUUGCAGAGACAACCAUGUCUGAAUUUUCCCUCCAACAUACACUGGAAACGAAAUGUCCAUUGUCAUAAGCACUCUCUUGGUUGGAUAUUGGAUCUAUAGAACUAAACUUGUGUGAAGUUACCAAAUUUCUGUUAAUAAUUAAGCAAGAAGCUAAAAAUAAAAUGAUUUCUUAUUAAUGAAUUACAAUCAGUUUAUAAAGUUUAAUGACACUUGAAAUUGAAAAUAUAUAGUUUUAGUUUGUAGAUAUAUGACAUUGUAGUAUAUAAAAAUAGAAAGAAUGAGAAGAAAAAUCAUACUUCAUUGAUAUUCCAAAGUUUGACAGGAACAAUAUGAAAUCCGAAUGUUGGAUUUUAAAAUAGGAAUAAUAUUAAAAUAUGUAAACAUGAAUAAUUAGGAAUAAUCAAAAACAGAAAUAAUUAGGAAUAAUCAAAAACAGGAAUAAUCAAAAAACAAAGUAGCCAUGCUUAUUCCCAUAUGUUGGGUUUUAAAACCAAAACCCCUAAAACUUGAAGUUAAAAGCCCCAAAUCAUGUUUUGAAGUUAAAAGCCCCAAAUCGUGUUUUGAAAUUAAAAGCCCCAAAUCGUGUUUUGAAGUUAAAAGCCCCAAAUCAACCUACUCCCUCCCGUUGAUACUUCCUGUUGUCCGGCGAGCAGCAGCGAUACCUCCAGUCCGGCGAGCAGCAGCGAUACCUCCUGUCCGGCGAGCAGCAACGAUAUCUCCAGUCCGGCGAUACCUCUAGGCCAUUCCGUUUAUUUCACCUCCAGGUAAGAUCGAUUUGUUUCCAUUCUUGAUUCAUAUGUUUACUUCACCGAUUAUUUAUGUUUUUGUUCUUGAUUCUAUUUUUAAUAGUUGUUCUUCAUUAUUCCGUUGUUGAUUCUAUUCUUAAUAGAUGUUUUUCUUUUUUUCUGUUGACUUUGACAUGGUUCAAGAGCAUCAUCCCUCAUGUCUAGUGGCCAUGGUUUAUGACAUGGUCAUAGACUAUAGAUAAGAAUCUGUAGAACCAAAAUGUCUCUUUCUUGUGCUGUAUGAAUCUAAGCUGGGAUGCUGGUCAUGGAAUAAAUCUCUAAGUUCUCCUCAAAUUCUGAAGAAUCCUCUUGCAUAAUAGUCUAUGUGUUUGUAAAUCCUUAUCUGUGUGUUGCUGGAAUUUUAAAUAACUCUAUUUCCCACUUCAUUAUUUAAUCCAAUGAUCUGUUUGGAAUUUUAGAAGAAUGAAAUUCAGAUUUGACCAUUAAAUUCAGAUUCCCACUCCAGUCCUCAGUCCAGUGGCCAUGGUUUAUGACAUGGUCAUAGACUAUAGAUAAGAAUCUGUAGAACCAAAAUGUCUCUUUCUUGUGCUGUAUGAAUCUAAGCAGGGAUGCUGGUCCUGAAAUAAAUCUCUAAGUUCUCCUCAAAUUCUGAAGAAUUCUCUUGCAUAAUAGCCUCUUGUAUAAUAGUCUAUGUGUUUGUAAAUCCUUAUCUGUGUGUUGACUCUCACCUAGCUGAAGUUCGUCUAAGAAUAAUAAAUAUUUAGGCACCUAAACUGACUAGAUGAUGACAAAAAUAUGUUAUAUGUUGCUGGAAUUUUAAAUAACUUUAUUUCCCACUUCAUUAUUUAAGCCAAUGAUCUAUUUGAAAUUUUAGAAGAAUGAAAUUCAGAUUUGACCAUUAAAUUUUUAGUUUGCUAAAAUAUUUUCAUUUAAAUGAAAACUAAAGUAAUAUUUUCAUAAAAUAUCUUAUCCCUGCUUAUAUGUAUGAAAACUAAAGUAAAAUUGUAAUACGAUUUCAUGUUACUUAUCCUACUAUGCCAAAAUAAUGUAGUUUGUUUGUAUAUAGAAAAUUAGGCUAGUCAUUAAGAGGUUGCCACUAAGUUUACCCAAAAGAUUUUAAAUGUUAUUUUAUAGUUAUUUCAACUCUAUCCUACUUUUGUAGUUCUAUACUUCUAUUAUCCGUUCUGUUUUCAUGAUUUGUUGUAUUCACAGAUUAUAAAUGGCACCCAAAAAAACAUUGGUUAGUAAGAAACGACGACUUACACGAAGUUCUGUCGACCAUGACGAACCUUCUUCAAGUACUCAUGUUCCGACUGCAACUUUCUAUUGAGAAAGAAAAAGAAAAAGAAAAAAUGAACGAUCAAAUGGAGAAGUUAAUAGAGGUAUAUGUAUGAAAAUCAAUAAAAUUUUAAAGUAAUACAUAAAUAUAAAUGAAUCUUAAAUGUUUUACAGGAUAAUCGAGUUUUAAAAAGGAAAUAUGAUGAAAUGUUUGAUAUGUUUGAAGACCUGAAGAAAACAGUUUUAUCCCAAUCAAAUACAACUCCACAACCUUCAGAUCGUGGAUCGUUGCAAGAUAGAAGUAUUAAUGAAGGUCAGAACGAUCAAAGAUAUCAAACUCCUCCAUCCAAAUAGGUCUUCCAUGUUAUUUUUGUUGAAUGUUAGUUUUGUUGAAUGUUAGUUUUGUUGAAUGUUAAUUUUGUUGAAUGUUAGUUUUCUUGAAUGUUGAAUGUUGUAUUUGUUGAAUGUUGUUUUUGUAUUGAAUAUUUGUUAAAUAUUGAAUGAAUUUACAGGAAUUAAUAUUAAUUGAAUGAAUUUACAGGAUUUUGCAUUUAAUUUACAGGUUCCAAGACUUAAGAGAUUGUAUAUGUGUAGUAAG